This is a non-coding RNA of Punica granatum (pomegranate), 2889 nucleotides long. The record is from RefSeq and is a predicted model, not a curated record. NCBI's taxonomy places the organism in Eukaryota, Viridiplantae, Streptophyta, Magnoliopsida, Myrtales, Lythraceae.
UCUUUAGUCUUCCUCUUCCCCAGUUCCACUUUCUCAAAUUCUGAUCUAAACUCCAAGCCUCCAACCUUUACCUACUGCGAUUGCUCUUGCUCUAGCAGGCCCAGGCGAUCGCUGUCAGCUGAGUCAGUCUCUCUCCUUCUCUCUCUUCUUCACCUCAACGACACCGACCAACCGCUGCUGCCUCCUCCUCCCGGGACACUGCUGCCUCAUCCUCCCGGGACGUUGCUACUUCAUUUCUUCAUCGACUCUCUAUUCUUCUUAUUACUAGGGGUUCAAUCGGUAAAGCUCAGCUUUUUACUUAUUGAGAAUCAGGGAAAUGGGAAUUUGAAGAGCCUAUACUCUGUUGGAAGAUUCUCACCUACCACUUUAUUGCUUGAGCAUGAAUAUGGUUUCUUGUCCACAACUGAGUCUUUGUUUCUUCAGCUAUGUGUUUUGGAAAUCUUUGGAUGCAGGACAAUAAGUGCAUAUAUAAUAUUGAACAAAACCUUGACCACAGCAAACCCAAAGAGAUGACCAUUGUUUAAGGCAAUGAACAUAAGAUCAAGUUAGCUGCAAGUUCAUCCAUCAGUUAAUGUUGAAACAUCUCGACAGGUAAGCCGUCAGCGAUCUUACCACGAAAUAUAGCAUCAUCACGAGAUACAUCUACCCAUUACUUUGGGGAUUCCAGGUACUCUGAUCAUCUUCCGGUCUGCUUUAAAACAUGUCUCUUGCAUUUGAUUAUUGUUACCUUAACAUAAUCGAUAGCCACAUCUCAUGUAGCUAUCUUGCAUCUAAAGAAAGAAUGGUUCCGUCAUUUUACCCUCCAUUAAUUCUCGAUACUCGAUUCUUAGAAUGACUUUUUACUCCGUGGGUUGGCAUUUUCGGUUUGAUUUAUUGAUUAUUAAUGAGACAUUUUUGUUUUUAUUUAGUGAGACAAAAAAAUUUAUAGGUUCCAACAGGAUACCCGGAAUCUGUGGUAUAAUACAGGUUCUGGGUAAGUUCCGGUUCCAAAAUUCAACAGGGUAGGGUCUGGUUUCAAAAUUUUAGAACUGGUUCCUUACAGGACAAGGUCCGAGUAUCGUAAAAAAUACAAGGUAUUCGGAACCGAUCACUCCUAGUCUAGUGUUUGAAACCCCUAAAACCCAAAUCUGUCCUCCAUUCUCACUGUCAGUACUUCUCCUUCGCAUCGAAGGAAUCAGUCCGCCCCCCUCUCUCCGAUUUGACCCUCAUCCCCAACCACACCCUUCGUCGUGCAUCGAGCGCAUCCCCACCGCUGAGCAGCCCGCCUCUGCUUCAUUGCCUCCGACAAGAACCGCUCCCUCAUCACCUCCCUCGGCGCCCGCCACGCCUUCCUCUCCAUCCUCUUCUCCCUCGACCACCCCGACCUCGCCCUCGAGUCCCUUGCCGUCCUCUCCCUCUUCCAGCUCACCGACUGCACGGCCAUCGCCUCCAACCCCGACAAGGUCUCCUUCCUCGCCCGCCUCACUUGCCCUUUCCACAGCAGCGGCCUUUCUUCCCGGCACCGCCGCUGCUUGCUGCUCGCCGUGAGGGUUUCUUCUUCAUCGACUGGUCAGCGGCCUCCAAUCCGUGGCUUUCCUUCGAAGCUCCAGCCCGUGGCCCUCCUUCGAAGCUCCAAUCCGUGGCCCUCAUCCCCGGCACGGCCAAUGUCGAAGCUCCAGUCUCUUCCACGGCGGUGGCCUUUGAAGGUGAAGUUCCACUCGCCGAAUCAGGAGAACAAGGACAUGCCUGAGGCCGAGCCUGCAUCUCCGCCCCCACAGCCGGAGAAGAAGCCUGAGCCUCAGGCUUCGCCUGAACCGGAGCCGGAGCCCAUGGAAAUAUCAGAAUAGGAGAAAGAAGCAACGGAGAGGAAGGCUCGGGCUCUGAAGGAGAAAGAAGCGGGUAAUGCAGCUUACAAGAAGAAGGAUUUCGAGACUGCUAUUCAGCACUACACGAAGGCCAUUGAGCUCGGCGAUGAGGACAUCUCAUUCUUGACAAGCAGAGCUGCUGUGUAUUUGGAGAUCGGAAGCUAUGAGGAGUGUAUUAAGAUUGUGACAAGGCUGUUGAAUGGGGAAGAGAGCUUAGAUCGGACUUCAAGAUGAUAGCAAGAGCUUUGACCAGGAAGGGAUCUAUCCUGGUGAAAAUGGCAAAGAAAGAACUGGAGCAGCAAGAGUAUUUUGACCCCAAAAUAGCUGAUGAGGGCGUGAGGAAGCUAAUGAAUGCUUCAAGCAGCAAAAGUAUCCUGAAGCUGUCAAGCAUUACACAGAAUCCCUGAAAAGGAGUCCAAAAGAUCCAAAGGCUUACGAGACAGCAUGCUUCAUUAACCUUGGUGCCCUUGCUUGAGGGAUUGAAGGAUGCAGAGAAGUGAAUUGAGCUUGAACCCACCUUCUCCAAGGGAUAUACAAGAAAAGGUGCCAUUCAAUUUGUCAUGAAGGAGUAUUACAAGCCUCUGGAGACAUACCAAUAAGGCCUGAAACAUGACCCCAACGUCCAGGAAUUGCUAGAUGGUGUAAGAAGAUGUGUAGAACAAAUAAACAAGGCUAAUCAUAGGGAUUUGACCCCAGAAGAAUUGAAGGAGAGACAGACUUGAGAGCAUGCAUAAGAGGUUGAGGAUUCAUGAUAGAAGCUCCCCGCCAAUCGAUCACAUUGCCCCUUACGAGGGUAAGGGCAAGCAUGUGAGAGGUUCCCAAGAGGACAAUGAAGACUCCUCUUCCUCCUCCUCCGCCUCCGCCUCCGCCUCUUCCGACGACAAUUAUAGCUUGGGUUGUGUGUGUUGGUUCGGAUUGCAUUUUGGAUGUUUAUGGCUUGGGAUGUGUUAGUCUAAUCCUUUGUAGUGUGGAUUGUAUCUUGGAUAUUAAUAUUAAUGUAUGCACUGAUUUUUUUUUAAUAAUUUUUGAGCAAUUUUUAAUUUUA